RNAcentral lists this unclassified non-coding RNA (345 nucleotides) under soil metagenome. RNAcentral's name for it is "partial contains 5.8S ribosomal RNA, internal transcribed spacer 2, and large subunit ribosomal RNA". The stretch from base 1 to 120 matches the Rfam family "5.8S ribosomal RNA", at positions 35 to 154 of the family's 154-position model. The record is from RNAcentral.
GAUGAAGAACGCAGCGAAAUGCGAUAAGUAAUGUGAAUUGCAGAAUUCAGUGAAUCAUCGAGUCUUUGAACGCACAUUGCGCCCCCUGGUAUUCCGGGGGGCAUGCCUGUCCGAGCGUCAUUGCUGCCCUCAAGCACGGCUUGUGUGUUGGGCCUCCGUCCUCCUCCCGGGGGACGGGCCCGAAAGGCAGCGGCGGCACCGCGUCCGGUCCUCGAGCGUAUGGGGCUUCGUCACCCGCUCUUGUAGGCCCGGCCGGCGCUUGCCGACACAUCAAUCUUUUUUCCAGGUUGACCUCGGAUCAGGUAGGGAUACCCGCUGAACUUAAGCAUAUCAAUAAGCGGAGGA